UCCCCCUCAACCGAUCCCUCGUGCUUGAAUUGGCCAUCCCCUGACCCCGUUCUUCUCCCUUGACCCGAGCUUGGACCCAAAUCCUCUGGCACCGGCGACCACUCUGACCAAUUCACCUUGACCAGAGAAACCACUGGCCAUCAACAACAACCACCAGCGAUCAUUAUGGCAUGUCAAUGUUGAUCUUUUGUUUGUCGCUGCAACAAGUCCACUUUGCUUUAUUAUUUUCUCUCUGUUUUGGUUCUGAUGUCAAUUAUGGGAUUUUUUUGGUUCACAUAUCGGAGAUGUAUAUCAUCACUAUUGCCGUAGAAUUUGUUUUAAACCUCCUCAAUUUACGUUUUAUUUAUUCUGUAUCCGUGUCCUUUGUUUGAAUUUAGUGGAUGGAACUCGAAGGAGUAGUUUGGCAAGAAACGUAGAUUAAGGAAAUGGAGGUUUUAAUUUUCUA
Long non-coding RNA from Nelumbo nucifera (sacred lotus), 445 nucleotides. RefSeq lists it as uncharacterized. NCBI's taxonomy places the organism in Eukaryota, Viridiplantae, Streptophyta, Magnoliopsida, Proteales, Nelumbonaceae. The record is from RefSeq and is a predicted model, not a curated record.